UAUCCAUGGCUAGGAACAGGCAUGGCGAAUGCUGAGAAGGUCACAGAGAUUACAUUGGGACUGCUUUAUCAUGUGGCCUAGUUCGUCCAAGCCAAGGCCAUGAGAUGGCAAUGGAAUAAUUGAUGGACUGCAAAUUGGCUGGAGAUAUACGAAUCAGGUCGUAUCUUGGUUAGUCACAAAGAAACACGAUCAUGAUUUUGACAAUUGCAUGACGUCUCAGCUACCGUGUCAAAUCUGAACGGUUGUUUAGAUUGCAUCAUAUCUUUUCCUUUUUUUCCCUGAUUGAGAUCCAAGUUCUGUUUUUCAAUUGAAAUAUCCAAUGGAUUUAUUAAUAGAUCGUAAUCGUAGUAAUUCAGGCAAGCUAAAAUCACUGGUUUCUAUUUCUUGUUUUCACUGAUUAAUGUUUUAAUAUGUAGGGAGUCUGUUAUUAGUAUCAGAUAGAUAUAGACAUAGAUAGAUAGAUAAAUAGAUAGAUAGAUAGAUAGAGAUAGAGAUAGAGAUAGAGAUAGAGAUAGAUAUAGAUAUGGAUAGGUAGAUAGAUAGAUAGAUAGAUAGAUGGAGAUAGAGAUAGAGAUAGAGAUAGUGAUAGAGAUAGAUAUAUAGAUAGAUAGACAAAUAAAUAGGCUUAUCUACAUAUCCGUUACCAUCAAUAUGAUACAAGAAAUGGAUGCACCUAGCUAUAUUUAAUUAGAAGUAUCCUUUACUAUCGAUGUGAUACUACAAGGACCACACAUGUCCCUACAUUAAUUAUGAACAUACCCAAAUUAUGUACACAUAUCUGUUAAGAGUUCGAAAUCAACUACUCCAUUGCCAAUAAUUAAUAGGUUGCAUCCACAUCCAUUGCCAACAACUUUAUACAAGAUAUAAAUGUGCAAACAUUAGAUUAUAACAUAUCCAAGUCAUAUAUCUCUCACUUAGUUAAAAGAGUCCAAUUAAGCGAUUGAUGAGCGAAUGGAGUCUAAAAGCUUCACUAUGACCACUAUAUAUAGAGACUGAGUGGCACAGAAGUCCUGCAUAAACACAUACCAAUAGUGCUACACAACAUAGAUCAUGAACAACGGAAAAGUAGCUGGAGUGUUAUGCUUCCUAGUGCUUGUGGCUCUCUCUUCUUGUUCGCUCCAUGCACGAGCAGCCAACGACAUAGAUCACUGCCUCCUUGAUAAAAAAAAGGUGAUGCGAGACUGUUGGCAUCACAUCGAAAAGAAACUUGGUGACCAGUACCCGCCACUCCGUAGCGCAUGUUGCAAUACAAUAAGAGAUGCAAAAGACAUCCACUGCGUCUGUGAUCGGUUCACCGCUCAUGAACUGACUUUGCUCAGUCUAGCCAAGUUUGCCAUGGCUACACAUGUAUGCGGCAAUGGGUUGCACACAUGCACUCACUGUGCAGGUUAUCAUGUUCCAGAAAUAAAGCUACCACCUCCACCCGCGGCAAGUACCUAGGCCUUAAGUGUAAGACCAUUUUCAUAAUGGAGAAAUAAUUAAAUAAAGCAAAUAAUGAUGUCAGAUGAAUGACAUUUGCUGUGUAUUUGACCUUUUUUGUGUGUAUUAAAAAAAAUUGGGCAUAGCCUCGUCA
Molecule: long non-coding RNA, 1573 nt
Organism: Triticum aestivum (bread wheat)
Lineage: Eukaryota; Viridiplantae; Streptophyta; Magnoliopsida; Poales; Poaceae
Exons: 2
Source: RefSeq, a predicted model, not a curated record